Molecule: ribosomal RNA, 460 nt
Filed under: uncultured bacterium
Lineage: Bacteria
Description: partial 16S ribosomal RNA
Rfam family: Bacterial small subunit ribosomal RNA
Source: RNAcentral
CCUACGGGUGGCAGCAGUGAGGAAUAUUGGUCAAUGGACGAGAGUCUGAACCAGCCAAGUAGCGUGAAGGAUGACUGCUCUAUGGGUUGUAAACUUCUUUUAUAUGGGAAUAAAAUGAUGCACGUGUGCGUUUUUGUAUGUACCAUAUGAAUAAGCAUCGUCUAACUCCGUGCCAGCAGCCGCGGUAAUACGGAGGAUGCGAGCGUUAUCCGGAUUUAUUGGGUUUAAAGGGUGCGUAGGUGGUUUGUUAAGUCAGUGGUGAAAGUUUGCGGCUCAACCGUAAAAUUGCCGUUGAAACUGGUAGACUUGAGUACAGUAGAGGUAGGCGGAAUUCGUGGUGUAGCGGUGAAAUGCAUAGAUAUCACGAAGAACUCCGAUUGCGAAGGCAGCUCACUGGACUACAACUGACACUGAGGCUCGAAAGUGUGGGGAUCAAACAGGAUUAGAUACCCCUGUAGUC